Molecule: transfer RNA, 64 nt
Filed under: Euciroa cf. queenslandica STW-2017
Lineage: Eukaryota; Metazoa; Mollusca; Bivalvia; Euciroidae
Description: tRNA-Pro
Source: RNAcentral
CAGAGAGGAGUAUAAUUACAUUAGUUUUGGAGACUAGAAAUUCGGCAGAGAGCCGGCUCUCUGA